RNAcentral lists this ribosomal RNA (492 nucleotides) under uncultured bacterium. RNAcentral's name for it is "partial 16S ribosomal RNA". It matches the Rfam family "Bacterial small subunit ribosomal RNA", at positions 29 to 507 of the family's 1533-position model. The record is from RNAcentral.
AGUGAACGCUGGCGGUAGGCCUAACACAUGCAAGUCGAACGGCAGCACAGUAAGAGCUUGCUCUUACGGGUGGCGAGUGGCGGACGGGUGAGGAAUACAUCGGAAUCUACUUUUUCGUGGGGGAUAACGUAGGGAAACUUACGCUAAUACCGCAUACGACCUACGGGUGAAAGCAGGGGAUCUUCGGACCUUGCGCGAUUGAAUGAGCCGAUGUCGGAUUAGCUAGUUGGCGGGGUAAAGGCCCACCAAGGCGACGAUCCGUAGCUGGUCUGAGAGGAUGAUCAGCCACACUGGAACUGAGACACGGUCCAGACUCCUACGGGAGGCAGCAGUGGGGAAUAUUGGACAAUGGGCGCAAGCCUGAUCCGGCCAUACCGCGUGGGUGAAGAAGGCCUUCGGGUUGUAAAGCCCUUUUGUUGGGAAAGAAAAGCAGCAGGUUAAUACCCCGCUGUUCUGACGGUACCCAAAGAAUAAGCACCGGCUAACUUCAUG